This 446-nucleotide ribosomal RNA is filed under the name uncultured bacterium. Its description in RNAcentral is "partial 16S ribosomal RNA". It matches the Rfam family "Bacterial small subunit ribosomal RNA", at positions 338 to 795 of the family's 1533-position model. The record is from RNAcentral.
CCUACGGGUGGCAGCAGUCGAGAAUCAUUCACAAUGGGGGAAACCCUGAUGGUGCGACGCCGCGUGGGGGAAUGAAGGUCUUCGGAUUGUAAAUCCCUGUCAUGUGGGAGCAAAUUAAAAAGUUAGUACCACAAGAGGAAGAGACGGCUAACUAUGUGCCAUCAGCCGCGGUAAUACAGAGGUCUCAAGCGUUGUUCGGAAUCACUGGUCGUAAGGCGUGCGUAGGCUGUUUCGUAAGUCGUGUGUGAAAGGCGCGGGCUCAACCCGCGGACGGCACAUGAUACUGCGAGACUAGAGUAAUGGAGGGGGAGCCGGAAUUCUCGGUGUAGCAGUGAAAUGCGUAGAUAUCGAGAGGAACACUCGUGGCGAAGGCGGGUUCCUGGACAUUAACUGACGCUGAGGCACGAAGGCGAGGGGAGCGAAAGGGAUUAGAUACCCUGGUAGUC